GAAUUGCGAAAAGUAAUGUGAAUUGCAGAAUUCCGUGAAUCAUCGAAUCUUUGAACGCAUAUUGCGCUCUUUGGUUCUCCAAAGAGCAUGCCUGUUUGAGUAUCAGUAAAUCAACUCACCCCCAUAUGGGCGUGUGGAUUUGAACGUUCCGGUGCGAGGCAGUCGCCUUACGUCGGUCGUUUGGAAGGGAACGGGGGUUGCAUAGGGCUACCUCUCGGCUGGCGUAGUAGUUCUCUCCGGAGAUUUUAUCGCCUAUGGUCGGGUAAUUGCCUGUGACUACCGACACACACACAAUUACAGUGUGCGCCUCUGGUGUACACUUGAACUUGAUCUCAAAUCAGGCAAGACUACCCGCUGAAUUUAA
RNAcentral lists this unclassified non-coding RNA (364 nucleotides) under uncultured fungus. RNAcentral's name for it is "sequence contains ITS1". The stretch from base 1 to 105 matches the Rfam family "5.8S ribosomal RNA", at positions 50 to 154 of the family's 154-position model. Lineage: Eukaryota; Fungi. The record is from RNAcentral.